Molecule: ribosomal RNA, 1992 nt
Filed under: human gut metagenome
Description: bacterial LSU rRNA
Rfam family: Bacterial large subunit ribosomal RNA
Source: RNAcentral
UGAGGGAAAGGUGAAAAGCACCCCGGGAGGGGAGUGAAACAGUACCUGAAACCGUGCGCCCACGAGCAGUCGGAGCACCUUUAUGGUGUGACGGCGUGCCUUUUGUAGAAUGAGCCAGCGAGUCGCUGGCGCGGGGCGAGGUUAACCGAAAGGGAGCCGGAGCGAAAGCGAGCCUUAACAGGGCGACUUGAGUCCCGCGCCGCGGACGCGAAGCCGGGUGAGCUAUCCGUGGGCAGGCUGAAGCGGGGGUAAGACCCCGUGGAGGGCCGAACGCACGUCGGUUGAAAACGGCGGCGAUGACCUGCGGAUAGGGGUGAAAGGCCAAUCAAACCCGGAGAUAUCUCGUUCUCCCCGAAAUAGCUUUAGGGCUAGCGUCGCGCGUUCACCGCCGGAGGUAGAGCACCGGAUGGACGAGGGGGCUUCGCCGCCUACCGAAUCCAACCGAACUCCGAAUGCCGGCGGCCCAGAGCGCGGCAGUCAGAGCAUGUGGGCUAAGCUGUGUGCUCGAGAGGGAAACAGCCCGGACCGCCCGCUAAGGUCCCCAAGUUCCAGCCGAGUGGCAAAGGAUGUGCGUCCGCCCAGACAACCAGGAUGUUGGCUUAGAAGCAGCCAUGCAUUCAAAGAGUGCGUAACAGCUCACUGGUCGAGUGGACAUGCGCCGACAAUACACGGGGCUAAGCUGGACACCGAAGCGGCGGGAUUUUGAUUUACAGAAUCGGUAGGGGAGCUUCCCAUGGGCGGAGAAGCCGGAGGGCGACCGACGGUGGAGCGCAUGGGAGUGAGAAUGCUGGCAUGAGUAGCGAGAGACGAGAGAGUAACUCGUCCGCCGUGAACCCGAGGUUUCCUGGGCAAGGCUAAUCCUCCCAGGGUCAGUCGGGGGCUAAGGCGAGGCCGGUAGGCGUAGCCGACGCGCAGCAGGCAGACAUUCCUGCACCGCGCACGCGGCGCUACGACCGACGGGGCGACGGAUGGGGGUGGCUCGGCGGGGUUCUGGACGUCCCCGUGAUGGAGCGCGGCCCGCGGACCAGGGAAAUCCGGUCCGCACGAGGGCGAGGCUCCGGACGAAGCGAUUGAGCGAAGCGAGUGAGCCCGAGGUCCCUAGAAAAACCCCUAGGCAGGCGCGUGCGCGCCCGUACCGCAAACCGACACAGGUGGGUGGGUAGAACAUACCGAGGCGAUCGGGUCAACCAUGGUCAAGGAACUCGGCACAAUGGCCCCGUAACUUCGGGAGAAGGGGUGCCCGCGCGUACGUGAACCGGCUCGCCCGGGGAGCGGAGGCGGGCCGCAGUGGAGAGGCCCAAGCGACUGUUUACCAAAAACACAGGACUCUGCAGAAGCCGCAAGGCGACGUAUAGGGUCUGACGCCUGCCCGGUGCCGGAAGGUCACGCGGAGGAGUUAGCGCAUCGCGCGAAGCCCCGAAGCCAAGCCCCGGUAAACGGCGGCCGUAACUAUAACGGUCCUAAGGUAGCGAAAUUCCUUGUCGGGUAAGUUCCGACCUGCACGAAAGGCGCAACGACUUGGGCGCUGUCUCGACCAUGGACCCGGUGAAAUUGCACUGGUCGUGAAGAUGCGACUUACCCGCGGAAGGACGGAAAGACCCCGUGAACCUUCACUGCAGCUUGGCAUUGGCCGCUGGUCCCGCGUGUAGAGGAUAGGCAGGAGGCAUCGAUCCGGAGGCGCCAGCCCCCGGGGAGCCGCCCUUGGAAUACUGCCCUCGCGCGACCGGCGUCCUAACCCGAGGCCGUCAACCGGCUCGGGGACCGUGCCAGGCGGGCAGUUUGACUGGGGCGGUCGCCUCCUAAAGGGUAACGGAGGCGCGCGAAGGUCCGCUCGGGACGGUCGGCAACCGUCCUUUUGAAUGCAAGAGUACAAGCGGGCUUGACUGCGAGGCCCACAAGCCGAGCAGGUGCGAAAGCAGGCUCUAGUGAUCCGGCGGCCCCGAGUGGGUGGGCCGUCGCUCAACGGAUAAAAGGUACUCCGGGGAUAACAGG